Molecule: long non-coding RNA, 2879 nt
Filed under: Mus musculus (house mouse)
Lineage: Eukaryota; Metazoa; Chordata; Mammalia; Rodentia; Muridae
Description: long non-coding RNA chr9:46156404-46159283
Source: RNAcentral
GGUUUUUACUUGUUGCUCUGACCUGUCAGCAUUUGCCUGACAGAUGCAAGUCCAUCUCCUACUGAUUAGCAGACAGAGAGUGUAUAGCAACUAUAAAUAGAAAAUAGGUGGUUUUUUUUGUUCUUUGACAGUUUCUAUUAAUACAUUGUAUGUCCAGAGGAAAAUAAAGUAGUUUGUGCUGAAACUGAAGUAUUGUUUGAAUGUAACCGCCUUGCACAGCCAAGGACUCAUAAGCUGUCCUCAGAUUUCCCUGUAAGCAGGGCAGGAGUUGAGAGUUCAGAUUUAUAUCUUGUUCCAGGUCAAAGCACCUGAGCAAGGCCCUGCCAGCUGUGGUGCUUCUGUCUCUUAGAGGCAGACCUAUCCUUUUAAGUCCUAGGAAUAGUGUGUUUCCAUCCCGGUCUCAGACUGACGGCUGUGCUUGUGUUCUGAAGCUCACAUAGUCUUCCACUGUGUUGGGCCUUGGCAUGACACAGCAGGCAAGAGUCAAAGGCUUUCUUUAUGGCUGGAGACUAAGCCAGGCACUGUGACUCGUCCUGCCUUCGCCUGUCAAAGGACAUUACUGUGCAGGAAACCAUGGUUUUCCUUUGUCUUCAUGUCAGUUGUGGCUAUUCCCAUAGAAUUAGGUAAUGUGGAAAGACCUGGCAAUGUCAAACCUUCUUUUGUAAUUACCUUUUUUUUUUGUAGCUUCAAUGAAAUGAACUGUAAACAGCAUAUACUGAAGCUCUCAGAACUCAGACAUGUGACAUGGGAUUUGAAGGCAGCCUGGAUGCAUUGCAAGACCCUGUCUUAUAAAAAAAAAAAGUGCAUUGCAACAGGCCUCUUAGCUCCUUACUGUUGGUGAAACAAAUUAGCACAAACUCCAAGGCUGCAAGCACGGUGGUGUUCUAAGUCAGCUCUGGAGGUCAGUAGAAUAAAAAACAUCCGGUUAGCAGCUGUGGUUCCUGGAGGACCUAGGGGGAAAGCCCAGAUUCUUGCCUUUUUUACCUUGUAGAGCGAACCUGCCUUUCUUGGCGCAGGCCCCGUCUUCACAGCACUUCCCAAACUUCAUGGUUCCAUUGUGGUGACUGUUCUCCUGAUUCCUGGUACUAAAAGGAGCCCUGUCAUUACAUCAGGUCCUCCUAGAUAAUCCAAGACUACCUCCACAGUUUCCUGAUAUUGACUUGGUCACUUCCAUAGAGAGCUCCUUUGACAUUCACGAGGAUAGGAUGCUUGCCACAUGGGUGUGUUGGAGGACACAAGCCAUUCCCAUGCCAUCCCCAGAGCCCUUCCCAUGCCAUCGGAUUAUUAAGUAGUUGAAAGAAAGCCCUUCUUUAUAUUUUAUAAUUGUAUUCUGCAUAUGUGACCUAAGUUUAAAGUGGUUUUUUUUUUUUUUUUUUGGUUUUGUAUUGUGUUGUGUUGUUUUAUGCUUGGUUCAUGAUUUUUACGUCAGGGCCAUUCUGAUUAAGUUAAGGAAAAUUCCUGUGUCAAUUAGUUUUUUCUGGAGAAACCAAAAAUAAAAGCAAAGGUCAUUGAUAAUUGAGACUAAAAUUACUGAAAAAUUAGUGGAAGGGGAUUUUUUUUUUUUUUUUUUUUUUUUUUUUUUAGUUUUUCGAGAGAGGGUUUCUCUAUAGCCCUGGCUGUCCUGGAAUUCACUUUGUAGACCAGGCUGGCCUCGAACUCAGAAAUCCACCUGCCUCUGCCUCCCGAGCACUGGGAUUAAAGGCGUGCGCCACCAUGCAGAAGGUGAUUUAAAAAAAAAAACUGGAGGUGGGGACUGGAGAGAUGGUUCAGUGGUUAAGAGCACUGACUGUUCUUCCAGAGGUCCCGAGUUUAAUUCCCAGCAACAACAUGGUGGCUCACAACCAUCUGCAAUGGGAUCUGAUGCCUUCUUAUGGUGUGUCUGAAGACAGCUGCAAUGUAUUCAUAUAAAUAAAAACAUAAAUAAAUCUUUUAAAAAAUUUUUUUGGUAAGUCAUUAAAACAAAUCCAAGCAGUUGCAGUAAGAAUGUACCCACUGGAGUGUGAGUGAAGCUGCUGGGACGCUGGCAGCCAGCCCUGUGCCCUCUGUGUUCUAACACAUAGGCUUUGGCACAGUUUUAAAGUUCAGUUUAAGUGUUUACAUUAGUAUUUGUUUUCAGAGCAAAACAAAGACUAAAUUGGGACUGUAGUUCAUGGUUGCCUACAGUGCUAAAUGUUUAUCUUUGGGUGACUGCUCAUGCGCUCUUUUUUUUUCCAUGCCCCCAUUAUGUGGUUUCUCAGUCAUUGCUCGAGCUUGGGGUGUUUGCACAAGUAUUAGAUGGGAUUCUCAUUUACACUUGCCCUAUCUUCCUUGAACCUAAUGGAUCACUAGGAGAAAUGCCUUUACUGAAGUCCAAGUAGAACCCGAGUAACUUCAGAGUGGACUGGGUGAUAAGUAAUGAAAUCAAUUUUAUUUCUAAGAGUGUAAAGCAACUAUUAGAGCCCUGUUCCUGUCAGUGGUCAUUUUGGAUACCAUAUUCGAAGCCUUAGGAAGAAGCUACUGUAUAUGAAAGACAUAUAUUUACAAGAGAGAAAAUGAGCUUUUUGGUUGUGUGUGUGUGUGUGUGUGUGUGUGUGUAAGAAUCAUCUUAUAUAGCUCAGGCUGGCUUCCAACUCAAGAGCCUCCUACUUCAGUCUCUCGCUAGGUUAUAAUGUGGUCAUACACCACCAUCUCUGCCAUUCUGGGGGUGGGGAGGGGAAAAGAGUGUUAAUAAACCAAGCCAGAGAUGUUAUCAGUCCUGGAACGCCUAUCUUAGCCACUAGUGAGGCUAAAGUAGCAGAAUUUUAAGUUUGAGGCCAGCCUGGACAACGUUUGGAGACCCUAUCUCAAGAAAUGAAAGUGCUAGGCAGAAUGCUUACCUACUUUCAGGUCCUGAGUUCAAU